GCAGGAGACACCUCGGCAGUCUGGAGCGCAAAGGCGCAGCAUCUUGGGCGGAGGAAGGACAACCUUGUAAGGAAACCAGGGCUGGGAAAAUCUCGCUGACUCACCACAUUUGGAGGCCAAUCCCGAAUCGGUGGAACAACGCGCCUCCCGAGAGACCCAGGACUAGCCUCCAGCCCCGAAACAGCGGUUCUUCACGUGACAGUCACCCCAGGAGCCAGUUUCAUGGAACAAAUGCAGAGAAUCCCGAACCAGCCCCUCCCCACCCCUGCUUCUCAGUCCAAGAAGAGGAGGACACCACUGUCAUCUUUCUUUUCCAAGGUCUCUUGGAAACUGAGGUUGCAGAAGCGGGAACCUUUGAAGAAUCUGUUUUUCGUCUUGGCAGAAAGAGCCCGGGGUCCUAAUCCUAGAAAGCGCCAUCUAGCAAUGAGAGGCCUGGGUAUCUUGGCCCAUGAAGCUCCUGACAAGGUAGGGGAG
This 474-nucleotide long non-coding RNA is filed under the name Rattus norvegicus (Norway rat). Its description in RNAcentral is "long non-coding RNA NONRATT013555". The record is from RNAcentral. Lineage: Eukaryota; Metazoa; Chordata; Mammalia; Rodentia; Muridae.